CUUCGGUGACUUGUUGCGGACAAAUAUAAUGUACAUGUGCAUCGAUAGUGCCCGCAGUCACGAUGAGCUUCUCGCCUGCAAUGACCUCCGUUGAGGAGCCGACGUACAUGUUGGCGGUGACAUUGUUCAUGACGUCGGGGUUUCCGGCCUUGCCUAUGCCGACGAUCUUGCCCGCCUUUACCCCGAUAUCUGCCUGCAAGGGCGUGCAGCAGGUAAAGUUUGAUGGAGAGUAUUUAUUACCUUGUAUAUCCCGGUCCAGUCAAUGAUAACUGCAUUGGUGAUGACGAGGUCUAGGCUACCCUCGAGGUACCCGCGACUGGUUCUCUGGCCCAUACCCUCUCGGAUAG
RNAcentral lists this small RNA (347 nucleotides) under Suillus luteus UH-Slu-Lm8-n1. RNAcentral describes it as "5' ureB small RNA". It matches the Rfam family "5' ureB small RNA". The record is from Rfam by way of RNAcentral. Lineage: Eukaryota; Fungi; Basidiomycota; Agaricomycetes; Boletales; Suillaceae.